AUACCCGCUGAACUUAAGACAUAUCAAUAAGCGGAGGAAAAGAAACCAACCGGGAUUACCUCAGUAACGGC
RNAcentral lists this ribosomal RNA (71 nucleotides) under Erysiphe palczewskii. RNAcentral describes it as "partial 28S ribosomal RNA". It matches the Rfam family "Eukaryotic large subunit ribosomal RNA", at positions 21 to 90 of the family's 3401-position model. Lineage: Eukaryota; Fungi; Ascomycota; Leotiomycetes; Helotiales; Erysiphaceae. The record is from RNAcentral.